This 71-nucleotide transfer RNA is filed under the name Bacteroidales bacterium. Its description in RNAcentral is "tRNA-Gln". It matches the Rfam family "tRNA". From Rfam's summary of the family: Transfer RNA (tRNA) molecules are approximately 80 nucleotides in length. Lineage: Bacteria; Pseudomonadati; Bacteroidota; Bacteroidia; Bacteroidales. The record is from RNAcentral. RNAcentral also lists the same sequence under 1 other name.
UGCCCAAUGGUGUAAUGGUAGCAUCCCAGAUUCUGGCUCUGAUAGUUCGGGUUCGAGUCCUGAUUGGGCAA